GGCGCUGCCCGAAAUGCUUGGAAGGCUAGUUGGGGAGGGUAGCGCCUGCUAAGCGUUGCUCAUACCCGAGACAGGCGAGAUCGUUCAUGGGCUUUGUUUGGCUUUGCGGCCUUGCAUCUGCUCCUCUGGCGGUUUCGUGCUGGGCGAACCUCUCGAAGCAUCACACGGUCAUUGCCCACCACAGCUCGUUGCUUGGUCACCCGCUGAGUCUUGAUGUGCAGGAUGUUUCAUCCACUUUCCAGGCUAUUGAAGUUGACGCGUGGAUGGGCAGAAUCCCGCACGGAGGGCUUGUCCGUGCGUGGGUUGUGGCUCGCGUCACGCCUGUGAAAUCUGUGGCUCUGACUGCCGACUUGUGGACGUGGUGUGAUCCAUUCGGCGACGAAGCUGCAAAUGGCCAGACACAUACAGCUCCCAGCCCUCUCGUCAUGUGCCGACGGAGGGCACCUGCGGGCAGGCUGCUUGCGUCGCAUGCGAAGCAUACGCUCAGCCUGGGAAGCUGGUCUGAUUGGUGAUGUUCUGGCGACCAUCGGUCACGUCUCGAAACACGGGCCAAGGAGUAUAGCAUGUGUGCAAGUCUAAGGGUCUCACAAAACCCGAGGGCGAAGUGAAAGCAAAGGUGUGGCGGCGCAUUGCUGCGCCGUCAGCCAUGUCAAAGUGGUUGCUAGUACCGAGCUGAUCCUGCUUUCCCAUGCUGGGGACAGGCGCAAGCUCCGGGCUCACGAUUGUUGGUUCGGCAAGCUUCUCCUUCACGGGAGUUGCGGGCUGGACGGUGAGCACCGCGGAGCACAUAUGCUAUGACCCGAAAGAUAGUGAACUAUGCCUGGCGAGGGUGAAGCCCCAGGAAACUGGGGUGGAGGCCCGUAGCCGUUGUGACGUGCAAAUCCAUGGCGUCAG
This 894-nucleotide ribosomal RNA is filed under the name Hyalella azteca. RNAcentral describes it as "eukaryotic LSU rRNA". The stretch from base 550 to 894 matches the Rfam family "Eukaryotic large subunit ribosomal RNA", at positions 666 to 910 of the family's 3401-position model. Lineage: Eukaryota; Metazoa; Arthropoda; Malacostraca; Amphipoda; Hyalellidae. The record is from RNAcentral.